This 451-nucleotide ribosomal RNA is filed under the name uncultured bacterium. RNAcentral describes it as "partial 16S ribosomal RNA". It matches the Rfam family "Bacterial small subunit ribosomal RNA", at positions 354 to 796 of the family's 1533-position model. The record is from RNAcentral.
GUGAGGAAUCUUGCGCAAUGGGGGAAACCCUGACGCAGCAACGCCGCGUGAGUGAGGAAGGUUUUCGGAUCGUAAAGCUCUGUCGGGUGAGAAGAAAUGUAUAGAAGUUAACAGCCUUUAUACUUGACGGUAUCACCAGAGGAAGCACCGGCCAACUCCGUGCCAGCAGCCGCGGUAAUACGGGGGGUGCAAGCGUUGUUCGGAAUCAUUGGGCGUAAAGAGCGUGUAGGCCGCUGGAUAAGUCAGAUGUGAAAGCCCUGGGCUCAACCCGGGAAGUGCAUUUGAAACUGUCCUGCUAGAGUAAGGGAGAGGGAAGUGGAAUUCCUGGUGUAGAGGUGAAAUUCGUAGAUAUCAGGAGGAACACCGGUGGCGAAGGCGACUUCCUGGCCCUAUACUGACGCUGAGACGCGAGAGCGUGGGGAGCAAACAGGAUUAGAAACCCUAGUAGUCC